This 2650-nucleotide long non-coding RNA is filed under the name Capsicum annuum. Its description in RNAcentral is "long non-coding RNA (CANN_LNC011475)". The record is from RNAcentral. Lineage: Eukaryota; Viridiplantae; Streptophyta; Magnoliopsida; Solanales; Solanaceae.
GAUAGGUCAAGUUUUGGACUGUAAGGGUUGUUUUUCUUGACAUUAUUAGAGGUUAAAUUUGAUGACUCGAUUUCUUUCAUAGUUUGAUAUUUUAGGAAUUUGGCCAUAUCACGAAUAUGAGUUUUUUUUUAAAAAAGGGGCAGCAUACGUUUUCGAUGUAAAAAUUGAAUUUGUUGAACUGAUGUUGCAAUCUUUUCAUGUAUAUGUUGCUGUAACAACUACAGUUUAACUAAUAUUCAUGUUUUUACUUUCCUUUCCUUUUCUGUCAUGACUUGAACAUGGUCUUGGUGUAUAACAUUGAUUAGAAAUCACGUUAGAGAAUUCUUUUACGGUUUUAAGUUCACCAUCAAUGCUUUGUUUGGAUCAAAGAAUGGAUACUAUGUGCAUGAUUGUAAGUUACAUUACCUAGACUUAUAAUUUGAGUAACCUCCUUUGCAAGUUUGUGGUUUUUUUUUAUGUAACUUGUAGUUUUGCAAGUCAUUUUUGUCAACAUUACUUUUUAUUCAUAGCUUGUCAUCUAGGUAUGUUUUAUGAAUAUUUCAUUUAGCUCGAAGUGACGUUUCUUUUGUAUUAGGCGGGAAAAGGCGAAAUUUGGUUUCUCACUUGAACUUAUGUAGUUAAAAAGGACUUUGGAGAGAAAGGAGUUUCAAGAUUAAAUAUUUGUCUCUCGUCUUCAAUAUUUCUAACCUUAUUCGGAUUCUCAAAAUAACAGAGCCAUUUGAUUGUUCUAUUUAUCUUUGUUUAAACCCUUUCUUUUUUUUUUUUCUUUUUUUGAAUGUGUAUUUAUAAAGUUGUGUUUGUCUAUUUUGAAAAAUAAAAACAGCACGUGGACUAUAUAGAAAGGAUUGAGAAAUUCCAAAGCAGAGUAAUACUUUAGAUUAGUCAAGUAUGUAAGCACGGUAUAAUUUAAGGUUCUGCUUAUGCUUGUUCUACAUAGUUUUCAAAAAAAAAAAUCAGCUUGUGGUAUGUUAUGAUUUUUUGUAAGAGGAAAAGUUUAUUUUGAUUUUCUGAAGGAGAGGUGAACAUUAAUCAUUAUUCCUUUUUGAUAAUGUUGUGAUAAGGAUAAAAGGAAAGUUUUGUUUAGUCAAUAAGCAUGUAUGGUGAAGUUUGGUCGAGAUUAUAUGCGUAAGGUAUAUGUAAAGUGGUAGCAUCAUAUCUUUGAAUAUAUCACAGCUUCUAAUCCUGCUAUAAGUCAUCUUGAUUUUUGUCUAUUUGCAUUUGGAAGAGUUUUUUUUUUCUAAAAAAGGAGGCUUAACUUGUCAUUUUCAAAAUGUCUAUCAAGAAACUGUGUUGGAUACAUUCUCAUGGUUGACUUGGACCCAUCUUACAAUUUAGCAAAAGUGUGUAAAAGUUUGGUUGAGUACUUUUCUCCUGGGCAAAAUUGGGCAAAAUAGCUCGGUAAACUCUUGUACUUGGUCUGUUUUGUAAAAUGGAUACUUCUACUUAACAAUUUGUCAUCUGAACCCUCAACUCAAUGAAAUAAAAUAGCUUGGUAGACUCUUGUAUACUUGGUCUGUUUUGUAAAAUGGAUACUUCUACUUAACAAUUUGUUAUCUGAAUUCCUCAACUCAAUGAAACUCAAUAUUGUAAGACCUUUGACCGUUGACCGGAUCUAUGUGGCAUUAAAAUAGGUGAGUAGGACGAAAUGCGUGACUGCACGCGCCUGAGGUGCGAGUGAGGGUGUUUUUUUGAUAUUCUUACAUUAAAACUAUUUUAAAAAAUUAAAAAAAAAAGAAGGAACAACAAGCCAGCCCCACCCCCUCCCACCCCACCCCACAAACCACCAUUGCAGCAUCUCAUCAUCUCCAUUGAAAAAGAAAGAAAAAGCCAGCCUCUUCCUCUCUGUCAAAGGUUCCGGCAUCUCAUCAUCCUCCUCCAGCAUCCUCGUCGACAAUUUCACCCCUAAUAAAACUCCAAGCUCUUGUCUCUAACAAAAUCCGGCUGCUGCAAAAACACCCACAAUCGUCCUCUCCCCUCCGCCCCUCCCUCCAACCCCACCCCACCCCACAAACCACCAUUGCAGCCCCUAAAAGCUCCCGUAAUCAUCCUCCCUCCGCCCUCCAAUUGCGACGCCAUUAAAGACCCUCACCUCCAAACUCCCCAAUCGCCCUCCUCCGCUGCAAUUGCCACCAUUAAACCAAACAAUUCAAUAAAAUACCCUCACAAAGACACUCCAAUACAUACAUCACUCGCAUACAAUGGAGAGAGAUCCUCUCCAUCAUCAUACAAACUAUUUACACACACCCACACACUAAUACAGAAAAGAUACACUACACAUACAUAGAAAACAAAAAGACAGAGAGACGGGAGAAAGAGUGAAAAAUGGAGACAACUGAAACACAGGGAGUGGGAGGAGGCUGGUUCUUGAUGGAGGUUUAUAGCGGGUUCUGGCGAGUUCUUGCCGGAAGUCUUUCUCUCUUGUCGUUCCUUUAUGUUUUUUGUGUUUCAGUUUUAAAAAUGAAAAUAUUAAUAAUUAAAAAGGUGAAUUUUAGAUGAAUUUUUUUUUAAAGGGUGAAUUAAAAAUGAAAAAUUUAAAGAGUUGAUUUUUUUUAAUUUACUUUCUCAAUUUAAAUUUAUUUAAUAUUUAAUUUUUUAUGUGGUAUUUUAAAAAUGAUGUGGAAUUUAAUGUAAUAUUUAAAAAUGACGUGGA